Molecule: ribosomal RNA, 254 nt
Filed under: uncultured bacterium
Lineage: Bacteria
Description: partial 16S ribosomal RNA
Rfam family: Bacterial small subunit ribosomal RNA
Source: RNAcentral
GACGUAGGGUCCAAGCGUUGUCCGGAUUUACUGGGCGUAAAGAGCGCGUAGGCGGUCUGUUAAGUGAGAAGUGAAAUCUCCAGGGCUCAACCCGGAAACUGCUUUUCAUACUGACAGACUAGAGGAAUGCAGAGGUAAGUGGAAUUCCUGGUGUAGCGGUGAAAUGCGUUGAUAUCAGGAGGAACACCCAUGGCGAAGGCAGCUUACUGGGCAUUAUCUGACGCUGAGGCGCGAAAGCGUGGGUAGCAAACAGG